RNAcentral lists this long non-coding RNA (1581 nucleotides) under Actinidia chinensis (golden kiwifruit). RNAcentral describes it as "long non-coding RNA (ACHI_LNC009568)". The record is from RNAcentral. Lineage: Eukaryota; Viridiplantae; Streptophyta; Magnoliopsida; Ericales; Actinidiaceae.
UUCAAUACGCAGCACGGCAGCAACGCAGCUCUCACUCUCUCUCUCUCUCUCUCUCUCAGCUUAGAAAUACCACGACUCCAUCUUCACUGAUAGCCGUUGCUUUGCUUUGCUGAGCAGGUAACCUCUCCCUCUCUCUCAUUUGUAUAUAUUUUUGGUUCUUAGAUAUAAUCUUGAUGUUUUUAUCUCAGAUUCCCUGUUCCAUUAUUCUGUUCAGGGUCGCUGUUUCCACUUCGAGAUCUCUAUCUUGUUCGCUUCAGUUUGAGAAUUGAGAGGUAAUAAUUUCUUGAGUCACCUUUAUGAGUCUUUUUUUUUCCAGAUCUCUAUCCUGUUCCAUUAUUCUUUUUUUUUCUCUUUCGUUGAGGUUCUUUUGACAAAUUCUUUUAGGACUUGUUUGAUUAUUCGGAUUGGUCAAGUAGUCCCCGGACUAGGACUACUUGGCGGACUAACAAAAUCAUGAAACACAGGACUCGUUGUUCCAUGUAUGGAGAACUAUUUGGUCUUUUUGGACUAGUAGUUCGGAGCCAUUUAAAAAAAAUAAACGCAGGAUUGGACUGGAUUUGUAGUCCAGUCCUGCCUAGUCUGGCCUGCCUAGUCUGGCCUAAUCGGGUAAUCAAACAUGCCAGUUUUAGUCUAACCCAAAAACACAUUCUGUUUUUUUUAGAUAUGUAUAUUCGAAUUUUUUCCUCGCAGUGGUGUUUGGUUGUGCCUUGUGAGAGAACCAAUAUUAAAGGUUGCUACCCUGUUUUAUUCAUGUUUUUAGAUAUUUUUGUUUUAUUCAAUCCAAGUUAAUUAAAUGGAAAAAAUGAAGCUCACCAAAAAUUUUACUCAUCCUAUGAGACAGGACAUCGAUGGCUGGCUCACACAGGUCUCCCAAUGAACCAAAUGCUCUGAGGUUUUGUGGAUUCUGUUGUUUUGAAAAGUUUGUGUUUUGGUGGGUUUGGAUGAAGGCUGUGUUCGUUAAUGGAGACAGUAGUUUGAUUUGUUCUUGAUUGAUAUUCUUGUUAAUUUGUGCGCUUUAGGGGGAUUUGUGGUGUUUGAUGUGCUCAAGAGAGUCUUCUUCUGUGUGUUGAUCUUCCCAUUAUAGUACUCUUGUGUUAUUUGGCAUGUAUGUCUAUGAUUAUUUCACUUCUUUCCCUUUUCCUGUAUGUUUAUGUUUAUUCGUUCAUUGUAUGUAUCUGUUUAUGAAGCUGGUUUUCAUUAGAUUCUGCCCCUGAUUUUUGGGUAUGAAAUUUAGAGUUUUUGAAGUGGGAUUUGGUGCAAGCUUUCAAGUGGGUUCAUUUGGCACAGGUGGGUAGUAGUUUGAUCUAAUUCUGUUGAACAUUCAGAAUCUGAAUAGGCACAAGAAUUGCGGAAAGAAGGAUCCUGUCUACACGAAAAUAAGAAUUGUUCCCCCAUCAUGAAAAAGGGGAAUUCCUUCCAAUAUCUUAUCAAUUAGAAAAUUAAACUUCUGAAUUUUUUCACUUUGUGAAGCUUGUUGUUUCUUAUUAAUAUUGCAAGUCGGGGAGCAGAAAACUUGAGUUCAGGAUUAAAAUUUGUGCAUAUUUUUUUGUAUUUAUUAUCUAUUAUAAAUAAUUUAUGACG